UCCUGUUUGUACUUUCCUGAGAUGAAGCAG
Molecule: non-coding RNA, 30 nt
Filed under: Mus musculus (house mouse)
Lineage: Eukaryota; Metazoa; Chordata; Mammalia; Rodentia; Muridae
Source: RNAcentral